AUUAUCCUCAAAUCCACUCAAUCACUCUCUUCCAAUCACCUCCUAUCACCCUCAAGUGAACACAUCCUAAACGAAUAUUGUAACUACAUUGAAUAUUACUUCUUCUAACUUUUAAUUACGUAUAUUGGUUUCAUUAUAAAUUAUGACAUUUUUGUCCAUUUCAAAAUAAUUAUACCUUUUCUUUGUAACUCAUUAUUAAAGUUUGUGUUGGUACUUCUUUUCACUAAAUUUUUGAUAUGUUUGAUGAAGACUUUUUUUUAACAUUAAAAAAAAAUGCCCUAUUUGGACUUGAAAUAGGAGUAUGAGAUUUUUAUAAACAUGGUUAACUGAAGAAUAAGGAUGAUUGAGAGAAUUGGUAGAAAAAAAGAAGAGGUUUAUAUUAAAGAGUUUUGUGUUUAUGGUUUAUUAUGUGUGGGUGAAUGAAGAAGAUUAGUUGGGAAUUGGUACAUAGUAUGUAUGGGUUUAUUUCCAUCGUGUCAACUCUCCAACCUCAAUGGUCCCCUUUUCAUCUUUAAUGCACCACACUUCCACUUUCUCACUCACAUACCCUCUUCUUUAUCACUCCAUCAUCCUAUCAUUUUAUAUCCUUCAUUCAUUCUUUUCUUUCACUUUUUUUUUUUUUUUUUCUAUAUGUCAAUCAACACUUUCAUUGAUUAUCAUCGUCAUUAUGCGACCUUGCUAUUUUUUUUUAUAAGUUUCUUAAUCGCUUAAUAUUUUUAAAUAUUAUAUUAGAUAUAUCUUUUUUAUUCUUUAUUAAAAGAAUUAUUUGGUGACGUAAUUGAGAUUGUGCUUUUUGGACAUUAUUGGCUACUGAUUCAAUUUCACAGAUCACCAGCCCCUGCAUUGAUAACCCACACCGACCCACCCCUUCGUAACGAAAAGGAGAAAGAAAGACGCAGAGAAGCCAAAUUUUCGAGUCUUUUUUUUUUUGUUCUGAGGUUGCAGAUAAAAAUCUUCAGCUUUUUUGUUGUAAAUGCCAAUAAUAUUUUCAGCAAAUUCAAAUUACUUGCAAAUUUUUGUUGUUGUUGUUGAUAACGAUGUUGUUAUAUGAUUGGGAAAAUCACUCUUUUGUUAUGUAAAAAGUCUAAAAGUAGAUAUCCUUUUGUUUAUCACAUUGAUAGCUUGUAGGUGAGAACUUUAUUUCUAAUCAUUUAACUCAACAGCUACCACCCAUUUCACAAAUAUCCUUUCCUAUCCUCCAAGAUCUUUUCUUUCAACCCCCCAAACAUAGUUCUAAAACUUCAAGCUUCAAAACGAUUCCUUUUAUAACUUGUUCUAUUCAAUUACACUGAUCUGUGCAAGAGAACUACAAAAUCAAAUAUCUUUUUAUUUUUCUUUUGUAUUGUCUAAACAUUCAGUCGUCUCUCCUUCCAACCAAUCUGUUACAUUAUUAUUACUUUUGUGAAGAAAAAAAGAAUAGGAUAAUAAAUUGGCAUGUCUUUACCUAGAAAUGGGUCAAAAUUUAUGUAUAUUAUAAAGAUAUGUUUGAAUAAAGUUAGGACGCAUUUGAGGUGAAGUAUGUAGAAAGAAAUGUCACUCUCAGAUGUCAGAAUAGAUAACCAUUGGAGAACAUGAGAUUGAAGCAGUAUGGGAAGUUGAAGAAGGUGGAGGUGAGUCUUAUGUUUUUAUAAUUGAAUUAGUCAUUGUCUAAGCAGACAAGUUUCCAUUCUAUUACAUCAUGGGUACAAUGGAUUAGGAUGAUGUUUUAUCUUAUCUAAUAUUUACCUCCAUGCCAUUUCUUUCAUUCAAUCAUCAAUGUAAGGAGACAUGGCCCAUCUUAGAAGAUCAGAGAAACUACAUCCACAGUUCUUGUUUUCUUUUUUCUUUUUUUCUUUUUUUAUAUAUCUCAUUAAUUCAAACUAACCUAUCACGAAUCAAGUUCUUGAAUGAAUGAUUCAAAGUUUUGUGAGUAUCAGAAAUUGCAGACACAUUACAGUUGUGAUGACAGAGGAAGGAAAGGUUGCUUCCAAGAACCAACCAACCAACCUUUAUCUCCUUUGUGUUUUUCUUCUCUAACAAACAAUGAUUCAUAAUAUGUGUUAUUUUAUUAGGUACUUAGCUGUUUCUUCUUCUAACUUUAUCUGUUUGUCACAUGAUGUACCUUAGCUUUGCAUACAUAUAUACAAUCCACGUGAAAUGAGGUAUAGAGUUUGUGACUAAUUUGCAAGAAACAGGUCUUUUUGCUCACUCAUAAGCCUUUGUUUUUCCAUAAUGUUCCACUGAUGAUUCCUUUGUUUGGUGAUUUUAUAUAGAAUUAGGAUUGAACAUGUCUCCUUCUAUUUUAUUGUACACCCUACUGAUGGGUAGAUGCAUCCAAGUGGACACAGCAAAUGGUGAAGAAGCCCCCACAUGCUAAUAUUUAUGCCGGCACAGUUUGUGACAGUGAGGGACUCAACCACUGGACAAGACAUAAUUAAUAUAAACUAAUCAAAAAAAGCAAGAAUUAUGUAUACUACUGUCUUUAGGAUUAUCUAAUAAUUCUACUGUUCUGCAUCAUCACACUAGCAUUUUGGAGCAUUUUCAGGUGGCACUUGCAUCCUCCAAAUCAAAAUCCUUAACUUUUUCUGCUUCUCAUUUGACCUUUAAUGGAAACCCUUUCAACUUAUUCAUCGAAAGUGAUCUCAAAUCCACUUUUCAAGGGCCAAGAACCAAAGGUGCAUAGAAUGGAGAGUCUAUAAUUCUACUUUUGUAAUAUAGAAGAAACACAGAAUUUCAGUUCCAAAAAUAGUUUGAGUGAUAAAUUACCAGGAAUCAAUGUAAAUUUUGGAUUUUGU
Long non-coding RNA from Vigna radiata var. radiata (mung bean), 2774 nucleotides. RefSeq lists it as uncharacterized. The record is from RefSeq and is a predicted model, not a curated record. The transcript has 2 exons. Lineage: Eukaryota; Viridiplantae; Streptophyta; Magnoliopsida; Fabales; Fabaceae.